This 382-nucleotide unclassified non-coding RNA is filed under the name Hevea brasiliensis (rubber tree). Lineage: Eukaryota; Viridiplantae; Streptophyta; Magnoliopsida; Malpighiales; Euphorbiaceae. The record is from RNAcentral.
CAGCUUUUCAUUAUGAAGGGAAAUAUAAUACAGUGUCGUAGUGGACCAUGGAAUGGCCUCCAGUUUACAGGGAGUCCUCAGCUGAAACCAAACCCAAUAUUUAAUUUUAUAUUUGUGUCAAAUAAGGAUGAGAUGAGGUAUAUUAUUCAUACGAGCUCAAAAAUAGUUCAGUUGUUUCGAGGUUAAUAAUAAGUGACAAAGGGGUUCUAGAGCGGCAUAUUUGGAUUGAUCGAACACAGAGUUGGACGCUAUUCUUUGGAGUUCCAACAGAUCAAUGUGACACUUAUGCAUUGUGUGGUCAAUAUGCGAGUUGCAACAUCAAUAACUAUCCUGUAUGUGCAUGCUUGGAAGGGUUUGUACCCAAAUCCCCAACAGCUUGGAG